Long non-coding RNA from Cavia porcellus (domestic guinea pig), 2046 nucleotides. RefSeq lists it as uncharacterized. Lineage: Eukaryota; Metazoa; Chordata; Mammalia; Rodentia; Caviidae. The record is from RefSeq and is a predicted model, not a curated record. The transcript is spliced from 2 exons.
GGGAACCAAGACCAAUCAAGAUAAUGCGUGACCAGUCUGCACCAUUUGUUAACUGAAUGUAUUAAGUGGUGGCUUCUGGACCCCUGAUCAGUUGACUACAUCAUUCACUAUAAAUUGUUCAGCUAUAGCCAAUUUUUCAAUCCUGAAAUGUUUUAAAUGAUAGUUGUCUGAACUUAGCAGUUGUUUGCACGUGUCUUUGCACGUGUGUGACACUAAAAUGAAUGAACAACUUGCUUUGCAUUGUGAGGCAUAGGUGAAGUUGGAGUCCAAUUUUAGGAUUCUCCUUUUUUUUUUUAAAACAACAUCUUUUUGAGACAGAGCCUCACUAUGCAGUUCAGGCUGGCCUUGAGCUCUUUUUGUAGCCCAGGCUGGUCUCAAAUAUACAAGGAUUCUCCUGGCUCUGCCUCCAGGCAUGUACCUCCAUAUUCAGCAAUUAGGAGUCUACUUUCAAGUAGCUGAGUAAUGUGAAAAUUAACAUCUAUUGGCUCAGAUUCCAUUUCCAAAGCUGACUAAAGGGAAAUGGUUUUUAGUAGAAAGGAUUUCAAAGUCUCCUAAAGCUGAAUAUUGCACAAGUGUUAAAUGAUUAAAAAUAUAACUCUCUUUAUGUUAGUAGGACAAAGAAAGGGAAGGAGGGAGAAAAGCAAAGGGCUGAGAGGGAAAGGAGAAGGGAGAAAGGUACCAAAUUUCUGAGGUCAAAGUUUUGUACAUUUCCAUGUCCUACCCCCAUAUACUCUACCACACAGAAUAAUAAAUCUAUUAGUCUUUAUGACUGGGAGGAACCUGGCUCAUACAAUCUGCUAAAUGAAACAAGGAACAAAUACUGGGCAGGACCCUGUCUGGUUCCAUGGUUCCAUGAUUUUAUAAGGACUCAGAAUAUAGGAAGAACAUCUUUUUAGAUUGUAACAGAUGAAAUUUCAAUUCUAAACUUUUGGAAGAAAGUCAUCCUACCUAUUUCUACGUUUGAAACUGUUUUCAUACUCAGAGGACAAGCAUUAUAAUUUGUCUGUUUAUAGAUAGAGACAUUUAAAAUUCUAUAUAGAACAGAGUUACCAUAGCAGCCUUAAGACUACUGGCUUUUAAAAGUCCUGCUUGGAAGUCUGGCCCUGGGUUGCAGCGUGGGAUCUUUGAUUUUGAGGGACUUUCCACCAUUCCUAAAAUCAUUAAAUCCUCAUUACAAGUAUGAUCAAGUGCUGAGUCUUGCUAAUUCCCUCAGUGAAUCACCGAGCUUGGAGACUGUACCAUGACCACCCAGUGCAGCCAAAUUUGACAACUCUCCCCUCCCUGACAUGGAGGCAUGGACACCCCACGAAGUAGAGGUUGUAAUAGCCACACAAAUCUCGAAUCCAGCAUCUUGGCAGGCAAAACAAAUGAGUGGAAAACCUGAGAACCAAGAACUUGUGAAUCAUUGAACCUCCUCAGCCAAAUGCAAGUAUGUACGGUGCCAUGUGACCCAGUGCACUCACCUUGGGAGAAACACUGGUUUCUGAGCCAGAUGCUCUCGCAGCUCAGGGGAGGUAGUGUCGGAAUUCAUGUAGCGCUCCACAUAGUCUGACCAGCGCUGGGGUCGGAAACAAAAGCAAAAAUGGAAAAGGUGAUAAAAACUAAGCAAUGCCUCAACAUGUACUGUAGUAAACAAUAGGAUUAAAAUGUCUAAAGUCUGUAUAAAUUUCAAGAUCAAAUACUUUUCCCCAAUGACAUGUUUGUUAUUGUUAUUAAAAUAUAGAUUUUAAAUUUCUGUUAACCAGCAGACAGUAAGUUUUGCUGCAUGCUUAAUUUAUCAGAAAUGGUAAGUGGGUAGAAACUGGCUCACUGCCAAGUUUUAUUUCUCCAUGAAAAAUCUGGAUUUCUGGUAUCUCUUAAAGAUGAAGAGAGGGAGAAGGAAAAGAAGGAACAACAGGGAGAAGAGUAAAAAGAUUUGGCAAUAAAAGCCAGUAUCUACACCAAAUAGGUUUCUUCAUCUACACUGCAGCCUGCCCUGGGCUUCCCAUUCAUGUUACCUACCAGGCAAACCACAUUAAAUCACAACUGUCUGCUUUGGGCUCAGAA